GGCAUAUCAAUAAGCGGAGGAAAAGAAACCAACCGGGAUUGCCUCAGUAACGGCGAGUGAAGCGGCAAGAGCUCAAAUUUGAAAGCUGGCCCCUCCGGGGUCCGCAUUGUAAUUUGCAGAGGAUGCUUCGGGUGCAGCCCCCGUCUAAGUGCCCUGGAAUGGGCCGUCAGAGAGGGUGAGAAUCCCGUCUGGGAUGGGGUGCCUGUGCCCGUGUGAAGCUCCUUCGACGAGUCGAGUUGUUUGGGAAUGCAGCUCUAAAUGGGUGGUAAAUUUCAUCUAAAGCUAAAUAUUGGCCGGAGACCGAUAGCGCACAAGUAGAGUGAUCGAAAGAUGAAAAGCACUUUGAAAAGAGAGUUAAACAGCACGUGAAAUUGUUGAAAGGGAAGCGCUUGCGACCAGACUCGCCUCCGGGGUUCAGCCGGCAUUCGUGCCGGUGUACUUCCCCGGGGGCGGGCCAGCGUCGGUUUGGGCGGCCGGUCAAAGGCCUCCGGAAUGUAGCGCCCUUCGGGGCGCCUUAUAGCCGGGGGUGCAAUGCGGCCAGCCUGGACCGAGGAACGCGCUUCGGCUCGGACGCUGGCAUAAUGGUCGUAAACGACCCGUCUUGAAACACGGACCAAGGAGUCUAACAUCUACGCGAGUGUUCGGGUGUCAAACCCGUACGCGCAGUGAAAGCGAACGGAGGUGAGAGCCCCCUCGUGGGGCGCAUCAUCGACCGAUCCUGAAGUCUUCGGAUGGAUUUGAGUAAGAGCGUAGCUGUGGGGACCCGAAAGAUGGUGAACUAUGCCUGAAUAGGGCGAAGCCAGAGGAAACUCUGGUGGAGGCUCGCAGCGGUUCUGACGUGCAAAUCGAUCGUCAAAUUUGGGUAUAGGGGCGAAAGACUAAUCGAACCAUCUGGUAGCUGGUUCCUGCCGAAGUU
Molecule: ribosomal RNA, 916 nt
Filed under: Aspergillus flavipes
Lineage: Eukaryota; Fungi; Ascomycota; Eurotiomycetes; Eurotiales; Aspergillaceae
Description: LSU rRNA
Rfam family: Eukaryotic large subunit ribosomal RNA
Source: RNAcentral